CAGAUAUGCUGCAGUGAUCAAGAAUUUGCUGGCUCCAGACUUCUCGUAUGGAAUGUGGACGGUGGUUUAUGACGCGCCGAUAGAUCCUGACUCGUUGGCACCCCGAAGCGCCGGGGAGUCUGCCCUCCGGGAACACUUUGGAGACGUGGCUGCCACGAUUGCGCUCGUGGACUGCUAUGUUCGAGAGAGGACGUUUCUCGGCGAUGGUGGCGGGCCGUUCACUUUCUGUAUGUGGCACAUGAGCCCUCAACUGAAGUGAAGGCUUGUCAUCUCUGCACCUAUAAUUGC
Long non-coding RNA from Rhipicephalus sanguineus (brown dog tick), 288 nucleotides. RefSeq lists it as uncharacterized. Lineage: Eukaryota; Metazoa; Arthropoda; Arachnida; Ixodida; Ixodidae. The record is from RefSeq and is a predicted model, not a curated record. The transcript is spliced from 3 exons.